UACGUAGGGGGCAAGCGUUGUCCGGAAUGACUGGGCGUAAAGGGUGCGUAGGCGGUUUGGUAAGUUAGAAGUGUAAUACCCAGGGCUCAACCCGGGUGCUGCUUCUAAAACUGCCAGACUUGAGUGCAGGAGAGGAAAGUGGAAUUCCUAGUGUAGCGGUGGAAUGCGUAGAUAUUAGGAGGAACAUCGGUGGCGAAGGCGACUUUCUGGACUGUAACUGACGCUGAGGCACGAAAGUGUGGGGAGCAAACAGG
RNAcentral lists this ribosomal RNA (254 nucleotides) under uncultured bacterium. RNAcentral describes it as "partial 16S ribosomal RNA". It matches the Rfam family "Bacterial small subunit ribosomal RNA", at positions 524 to 776 of the family's 1533-position model. The record is from RNAcentral.